RNAcentral lists this ribosomal RNA (465 nucleotides) under Vreelandella stevensii. RNAcentral's name for it is "partial 16S ribosomal RNA". It matches the Rfam family "Bacterial small subunit ribosomal RNA", at positions 338 to 795 of the family's 1533-position model. The record is from RNAcentral. Lineage: Bacteria; Pseudomonadati; Pseudomonadota; Gammaproteobacteria; Oceanospirillales; Halomonadaceae.
UCUACGGGUGGCAGCAGUGGGGAAUAUUGGACAAUGGGGGCAACCCUGAUCCAGCCAUGCCGCGUGUGUGAAGAAGGCCCUCGGGUUGUAAAGCACUUUCAGUGAGGAAGAACGCCUGGUGGUUAAUACCCAUCAGGAAAGACAUCACUCACAGAAGAAGCACCGGCUAACUCCGUGCCAGCAGCCGCGGUAAUACGGAGGGUGCGAGCGUUAAUCGGAAUUACUGGGCGUAAAGCGCGCGUAGGUGGCUUGAUAAGCCGGUUGUGAAAGCCCCGGGCUCAACCUGGGAACGGCAUCCGGAACUGUCAAGCUAGAGUGCAGGAGAGGAAGGUAGAAUUCCCGGUGUAGCGGUGAAAUGCGUAGAGAUCGGGAGGAAUACCAGUGGCGAAGGCGGCCUUCUGGACUGACACUGACACUGAGGUGCGAAAGCGUGGGUAGCAAACAGGAUUAGAUACCCCAGUAGUC